Molecule: ribosomal RNA, 1000 nt
Filed under: Microbacterium sp. HBUM178548
Lineage: Bacteria; Bacillati; Actinomycetota; Actinomycetes; Micrococcales; Microbacteriaceae
Description: bacterial SSU rRNA
Rfam family: Bacterial small subunit ribosomal RNA
Source: RNAcentral
ACCCUUGGGGGCGUGCUACACAUGCAGUCGAACGAUGAAGCUGGGGCUUGCUCUGGUGGAUUAGUGGCGAACGGGUGAGUAACACGUGAGCAACCUGCCCUGGACUCUGGGAUAAGCGCUGGAAACGGCGUCUAAUACUGGAUACGAGACGUGGCCGCAUGGUCAACGUUUGGAAAGAUUUUUCGGUCUGGGAUGGGCUCGCGGCCUAUCAGCUUGUUGGUGAGGUAAUGGCUCACCAAGGCGUCGACGGGUAGCCGGCCUGAGAGGGUGACCGGCCACACUGGGACUGAGACACGGCCCAGACUCCUACGGGAGGCAGCAGUGGGGAAUAUUGCACAAUGGGCGGAAGCCUGAUGCAGCAACGCCGCGUGAGGGAUGACGGCCUUCGGGUUGUAAACCUCUUUUAGCAGGGAAGAAGCGUGAGUGACGGUACCUGCAGAAAAAGCGCCGGCUAACUACGUGCCAGCAGCCGCGGUAAUACGUAGGGCGCAAGCGUUAUCCGGAAUUAUUGGGCGUAAAGAGCUCGUAGGCGGUUUGUCGCGUCUGCUGUGAAAUCCCGAGGCUCAACCUCGGGCCUGCAGUGGGUACGGGCAGACUAGAGUGCGGUAGGGGAGAUUGGAAUUCCUGGUGUAGCGGUGGAAUGCGCAGAUAUCAGGAGGAACACCGAUGGCGAAGGCAGAUCUCUGGGCCGUAACUGACGCUGAGGAGCGAAAGGGUGGGGAGCAAACAGGCUUAGAUACCCUGGUAGUCCACCCCGUAAACGUUGGGAACUAGUUGUGGGGUCCUUUCCACGGAUUCCGUGACGCAGCUAACGCAUUAAGUUCCCCGCCUGGGGAGUACGGCCGCAAGGCUAAAACUCAAAGGAAUUGACGGGGACCCGCACAAGCGGCGGAGCAUGCGGAUUAAUUCGAUGCAACGCGAAGAACCUUACCAAGGCUUGACAUACACGAGAACGGGCCAGAAAUGGUCAACUCUUUGGACACUCGUGAACAGGUGGUGC